RNAcentral lists this transfer RNA (76 nucleotides) under Compsopogon caeruleus. Its description in RNAcentral is "tRNA-Val". It matches the Rfam family "tRNA". Rfam says of the family: Transfer RNA (tRNA) molecules are approximately 80 nucleotides in length. The record is from RNAcentral. Lineage: Eukaryota; Rhodophyta; Compsopogonophyceae; Compsopogonales; Compsopogonaceae.
UAGGUAUUUAAUUCAGAGGUCUAGAAUGUCUUGUUUACACCGAGAAUGACAAUGGUUCAAAUCCAUUAAUACCUAA